RNAcentral lists this ribosomal RNA (465 nucleotides) under Vreelandella stevensii. RNAcentral's name for it is "partial 16S ribosomal RNA". It matches the Rfam family "Bacterial small subunit ribosomal RNA", at positions 338 to 795 of the family's 1533-position model. Lineage: Bacteria; Pseudomonadati; Pseudomonadota; Gammaproteobacteria; Oceanospirillales; Halomonadaceae. The record is from RNAcentral.
CCUACGGGCGGCUGCAGUGGGGAAUAUUGGACAAUGGGGGGAACCCUGAUCCAGCCAUGCCGCGUGUGUGAAGAAGGCCCUCGGGUUGUAAAGCACUUUCAGUGAGGAAGAACGCCUGGUGGUUAAUACCCAUCAGGAAAGACAGCACUCACAGAAGAAGCACCGGCUAACUCCGUGCCAGCAGCCGCGGUAAUACGGAGGGUGCGAGCGUUAAUCGGAAUUACUGGGCGUAAAGCGCGCGUAGGUGGCUUGAUAAGCCGGUUGUGAAAGCCCCGGGCUCAACCUGGGAACGGCAUCCGGAACUGUCAAGCUAGAGUGCAGGAGAGGAAGGUAGAAUUCCCGGUGUAGCGGUGAAAUGCGUAGAGAUCGGGAGGAAUACCAGUGGCGAAGGCGGCCUUCUGGACUGACACUGACACUGAGGUGCGAAAGCGUGGGUAGCAAACAGGAUUAGAUACCCCAGUAGUC